AAGUCAAAUGAAAUAAGUUCAUAAGAUAGAUUUCAGCGGAUAAUCGAUAUCGUCGAAAGUGAGGAAUAGGGCAAGGCCGAGCCCACUACUCCUCCUGCUCCUCUCCUGCUGGAGCAGCAUCCCACUCGACCGUCCAACCCGGUGGCAGAGUGGUAAGCCAAGUCACACCAUCAACCAUGUCCUGAAGCGUACCUGCAAAAAUUAUGCUACAAGCAAGGCUGAGUAUACUAAUACUCAGCUAGACUUACCUGGUGUGAGGAAUCUACUCCUCUACCUCUAGACCAUGCAGCUGUUUGGCUGAGGGGUUUGGUUUGCCAAAAGCACUAGCUGAAUCUAAAAUCAAUUUUUAGCUUUUCCAAUUCUAGUAUCAGUAUUUUAGCUAAGUUUGCUCUUUCUAAGCAUACAUGGUAACAAUCAUUUAAUACGAUCAACAUGUUAUCUCAUGUAAAGCCUCAUUUCACUUCUUACUCAAUGUAGUACAAGGGGUCAAGCAGUCUCAUUAGCUGCGAGAAGCAGACGAUUCGAAUCGAGUUUUAUCCUUGCAAGGUAAACCUAAACACACGACAUGUGAGGGUACUCCGUCCCCACAGAUGUCAACUGUACCCAUCAAUUCCCCAUUCGCGGCCAGGACUCACCGCCUUGGCAUACAAUGCUCCACUGACCCCGGCUGCCGCCGUGCAGUGACCGCACUUGUACCCACCAUAGCUAGCAUGGGCGACCCAGUCUCAGGACGAGUGAGGGGUAAAGUCCACGUCCGGCUUCACUCAGGUACUAGGUUUACCGGUUACCAUAUUUCUCGACAUGUGUUUAGUACUUUCAAACGCUUGACUUAGGUAUCCACACGUUAAUCCUUAAUUCCAUUUCCGUUUCAUGGACAAGGCAUCCACCCUAGAUCCAAGUCCAUAGACCAUCAUAGAUCACGUUAUCAAGGUGAAUACAACCAAUUCCAAACCUCACACGAGUGCUAGAAAAAUCACUCGACUUCUACUGAGAUCCUAAUUAGCAAAGCACCUACUUGACCUAGCAUACUAGUAUCCAUCUCAACAAGGAAUCCUGAAUUCAUGCAACUAAGGGUUUCAAGCAACUCCUACACUUAAGUGCAUAUUACAAGCCUACAAACCUUAAGUGUAGUAAAGUAGCAUAUAUAAAUUGGUUAUGCAUAAAACCGAGGCUUGCCUUCAAUUGCUGGGGCUGCGGCGAGAUCCUCGAUGGCAGGCUCGGGAGCUGGCUCUUGAUCUUCCUCGUGGAUAGCUCUUUGCUCAGGGAUGAGCACGUACUCUCCGUCAGCGAGUUUGCAAUCUAAUGAAUGCAAGGGAUAAGAUAUAUGCAUGUUAUGAUAUGAAAUUUUAGCAAUUAAAAUUGUAUGGUGAAGGAUUAAUUAAAAGAAGAUAGAGCUACUUCUUGCUACUAGAGAUUUCUGGGGUAUACUUAGUAAAUUAUGGUCAAGUUUGAUUACUGAAUGGCUAGCCUAUUUUUAGUGUUCCACUAAUUUUCCUCUUCAUGUCUUAGUGAUAUUUUAGCAAGAUUCUUAGCUGCAUUUAUUGGGGUGAGACUUAUUAGUCUUUCCAAUGUAUCUUUUCCUCUCCUUUUUUUAUGCUUUUAAGGUGGGUUUGAACUACAAGCCAGUGUUAUAAAUUUCCAAAAAUUUUGUAAACAUUACAGUGGCUCCUCACUGGUGUAUAACUCUCUGUCUCAAAAUUUGGGGCUUAAAAAGUGAGGGGUUCUCUUUGUACAAAAUUAUCAAAUAUUAGGGCAGAGGGGGUGCUUUGAACUACAACCUUCAUUUGAUGGUAGGUUAUUUUAUAAGGCUCAUUUUUGCUGGCAUCUAGGUGUUAUAACAUGACUUUGUACCAAUUUUCAGCCACUAAUACUUAUUAGUUAUUUUACUAUGAUUUUCUAAAGCUUCUAGCCAAUGGGGUGCUUCCUACUACCACUAUACUUGAAGAAUGUCAAACAAUAGAUUUCUAAUUUUUCCUAUCUUCUUCUUUGCGCAAGAGCAAUCAUUCUAGAAUUUGGCAACUUUUUGCUUAAGGGGAAGGUGGUAGGAGUUUCUUGAAUCAAAUGGUCUUUUUCAUAAGGGAGGGGCAAUGGGUGUUAGUUUGUAGUUUUGAAUAGGUUUUGCAUUUUUCUCUGGUGGCCUACUUCAUUAAUAAUCUGGUAAAAUUUUAUUUGCCCAUUGUUGCAUAUUUGUUGGCUUGCUUAUGAUUUAAUUGGAUCAUGGCUAAAAAUCAUGUUUUAAUUGUUCAACCAACUUAUAAUGAUGGGCUGGGGUGUUUAUUAUUUUUGUAGGGAUGUUCUAGUAGUUAGGAGUCUAUUGAAUUUUUCAUGCCAUUUUUGCAAUGGUUCUUGUAAUUCUAAUCAUGCUUUUUCUUGAUUUCUUAGUGUCUAACAAAAGAAAUAACCUUGGAUUAGCUCUGGACUAGGGUUUUCUGUAUUUUUCCUAUGUUCUUUAUCACAUAGGUAUUCUAGGAAAAAUAUGUUCAUCCUCUGGUUAUUAUUUUCCAUUGCCUUUCUUAUUUUCCUAAGUUUUGGGCAGAUAUGGCUUUUUAAUAAAUAACCCUGUGUUAAUCCUUCAUACUAGGUCGCUUAAUAUUUUUAAACAGUGUCUAAGUUGGGUUUGGACUUCUACAAAUUUUCUUAAGUCCAGCACAGAAGCAUAACUAUUUUCUUCAUUUUAAUAAGGUUUGGGCAAUUUCCUUAAUUAAUUCCAAACUCUAAAAUUUAGUACAGAAAGCAUAGGGUUCAGUAUUUUUAUGUGAUAGCUCAUAAUAUUCUGAAUCCAAAAAAAUUGGUUUGACUAAAUUUGGUUAAAUAUUUCUCAAGAUAUAAAUUUCUUAAGUUCUCUGCCUAUUUUAAAAGAAUAAACAGAAAUAGAUAAAGGAAAAAGGGUUUUGCACUGGGUCACUGGCGAAAGUUUCUAAGUGUAUUACAGACAGGUCCUUGGUUUACUAUUCACAUGAGUCUAUGACUACUCAGAAAACCCCCUAGGUUUCUGCUAAAUCCAACCCGCGAUCCUUCCCCUAAUGGAACAGUACCCGCGGUGGAGGAAAAGGGCGGAGGGGUUACCGGCGGUGAGGUUCCUCUGGUGAAGGGUCGGGUGAGGUACGAGGGUCUCUAGCGAUCACGUCGAGGUGCGGAUCGUCGGCGGUGGUGGUCGGAGUAGGUCGGUCCACGCGCGCAGGCGGGGGAGCUCGGCGGCGGCGAGGGCUCCGGCCUAUCCAGGGCUGUAUAGUUAAAUUGAACGGGUCAGAGAGCUUCAACAGAGGUCAAGGAAGACAUAGGUGCGAGGAAUUGGAAAACGGCUCACCAGAUAGCUCGGUCCACGAGAGGUGGCGGGUGACCGAAGUCCGGCGAGGGCGAUUUUGCUUCUCCGGUGAGGCAGUGCCUCGACUCAAGCUUGGGAAAGCUUUACUGCUUCACGGGGAAGCUGUCCAGGGGCUAGGGCGAGGCUUGGAGUCGUCGGGAAGGGCUGGCCACGGUGGUCGUGCUCGGGCAGUGAUGGCGGGCGAUGGAGAGCUCGUUGGAGUUGGAGUUUUUGUUCGGGGCGUGAGGCGAAGUGAAGAGCAGACCGUUGUGCACCCGAGGUACUUAUAGGCACCCUCGAGCAUGGCUGGGCGCAGGCGCGGGGGACAGAAGUCGAUCGUGCGCGGCGCGCGCGUAGAGGGCGGCCAGUGCGCGGCCGAGCGCUUGAGCACGCGAUCGAACACGUGUGAAGCGCCCCAAUCCUUUGGGACUCAAAUGUGAUACAAUUACUAGUCCCAAGAGGCUAGUAAACACAUUUAUACAACAGAUUAUUCUAGAUCUGCUUUAAACGAGACAAACCUAUAAAGGUGGCAAAAGAGUUGGUCCACAAUUCGGGACAUAUCAUCAGAGUGGGGCUGAAGCAGCCCGAUAUACGCAGCGAAGAAAUUCAGCGGUCCAACAGCCACAGGCAAGGUUGGGAACAGUCGUAACUAAUACCCGAUCUCCUUUUUCUGAAAAACAACAAAUAAGCAAGGGUGAGUACAAACGUACUUAGCAGCCCACCUUCACCCGCGGAAUGGGGAAAUCAGAUAUAAUGCAUGGAAUAUCUGGAGCUCAGGAUAUUUUGCAGAAACAACAAUAUUUUAUGCAGGGUUUUUUGUAAAACAUUUUGUAUUUUGCAAAGCGCAUCCUCUCCCAAAGGAGCAAGAAGUUUUUCAAUAUAGAGCAAAAUCCCCUGGACUAAACCAUCCAGGUAUCUCAGCAGUUUCCCACUGGUUUUUAUUUUCAAAAACAGCUACUGGACUUCCCGUCCACCAUAGCUCACGGCUCAACCGCUGGACCAUUUAAAAACCAUUUUUCUCAAACGCACCCUUUUUUGAAAACAAAACAUUAAUUGCCAUACCAUACCAGACUCGUCCAUUCCUGUGGACACGGACUAUUCGAAUAGGUUUUCAAACUCUGCUCAGAGGUGUACACUUUACCCACUAGUCCAGUUUCUGCGAUCUCACCGUCAUGAGACCCGAAUGCCGAAUCUCUUUCUUUCCUCGCACGUCCUAACCGUAACGGUUAUACCGGAAGGAGUCAGGCCACCGCCAUGUCCAAACCGGACAAAACAUUCCCCCUCCUUAUCCUCCCGGUGCUCCCGAGCCUUCAUAGCCCUAGGGUUGGACCGUAAGAGUUGAGAUUGAGUGACUGCCCACACAGUCUCGAGUGGUUGUACUUAUCAUGAGUACAGGUAGUGAAAGAUGACAAACCGGUCCUUAUGUGAGGGAACAAUCCUUCUGCUCACACCUAAACCAGCUGAGCCAUCACCUUAGGCCCUCCCCUAAACCAGGGAGUCCCUGAUCAUCCCUACUCAAAGGUGAUAAGGGUGAAAACCCUUCAUCAUACACAUUUUGAAAAGUAUCUUCUUUUGAAAACUCACACCUUUCCUCAAAUCAUUUGUAACAAAUAUAUCAGGGAUUGAUUGCGGCAAGCGGCUGGGUGGCCAUAAUAACUUGUCUCAAAAUCAUAUCAUGCAUAAAAUAACAGGUUGAGGGUUGUGGUUGAAAAACAUAGGUAAUUUAUGCAUCAAAGGGAUCUAGUGAGCUUGUCAUGCUUAUCCGGCGAAGGGGGAAGAGGGGCUCGUGGAACUGGCUUCUAGCUCCACUGCCUGGCGUAGACUUGCAGAUCUAGCCUCCACGAGACGGCACGAACACUCCGAUAACUAUGCAACAUGAACAAACAAACAUACAAACCAACAAGUAUACCAACAAAUAUUUAGUAUAGUGGUCAGAAUAGCGAUAUAUGGAUGGGUAGAGUCGUGAGUAGAAUCUAUGUCAUGUGGUGUUGAGAUACUGCUGGUGGUGGAGCGAAGGUGCUUACCAGGAGGGUGGACUGAAGACAAAGCGACACUAUGCGUGUAGCCGGCACAUCGGAGUAACUGAGUGGGUGGGGUGUUUGCCUUGGCUAAGGGUGUUGAGUGUGUGGAGUGGGAGAGGGUAGCUGGGUGUAUUUAUAGCUGGGUGUAUGUGGUGUAGCACAGUGAAGUUCACUGUUGGUGAGAAUAGUGACGAAUGAAUCUUCUGACUUAAUAUAAACAGGAGAGGCAGAAUAUGGGACAAGAGUAUUUUGGGAGUUUUCUGGAAUAUGAACCAUGCUUAAGGGAUGACAUGGUCGGAUAGGGAAUAGUUUGACAAGAAUUUUAGAAACAAGAAUGACUGAAAUCUGAGUUUGGAUGGAGGAGUUUUGGAUUUUAUAAUCAUAGGGAGAAAAAGAAAAGAAAAGGAAUAUUCUUGGAAUAUUCUAGAAUUUGAAUAUUCAGAGAUAUUUGGAAAAUCAAAAAAUGUAUUUUUGAGCGGGGUGCGAGGAAUUAUUUUUGGGCUUUUCUUGGGCAGAGGUUUAUGUUGGUGGAAACUGUUCCUACCUACUGUGUCACAUCAGACAACAGUGAGGCGGGAACCAAAUAGCUAGAAUGCUAUGAUAUUCUGGUCCGAGUGGGCUGUGGUAUCUUGGGCCAGGUUUUAUAGGAUUGAAGACGUAUCCAUACAAACAUGGUUUGCCUUUCUUUUUGGAAGUCUAGCUUGAAAGAAUCUCAAAGUUAAGUGUGCUCAACUAGGAGAAAUCUAGGAUGGGUGACUAGAUGGGAAGUUCCCUACUGGAAUGAAAAUCACAGUCACCGGAGUUCGUAUGACUGGAAUAUGGGUCUGGCUGGUCUUAGGUCGACUGGACAGCAUGAUGGAUGAGUAGUUGAAAUUUGGGGUGAUCGGAUGAUCGAUGAAUAGCAACGAUGAAUAGUAACGGUGAAUAGUGAUGGUGAAUAGUUCAUAUGAACGAACGAUGAACGGUGAAUAGUGACGAUGAACGAACGAUGAACGAUGAAUAGGAACUAUUAACGAACGAUGAACGAUCGAAUGAUCGAACGAACGAACGAACGAUCGGAAUUUCGGCAGCAUAACGGCAGGAAAAAGAUUAUUUGGACGAACGAACGGACGAACGAUCGAACGAUCGGACGAACGGACGAACGAACCAUGAACGAUCGGACGAACGAUCGAACGAACGAACGAACAAACUAAGAACAGGGGGACGAACGAUCGAAGAACGACCGAACGAUCCUUGUGCUAGUGUGUGCUUAUGUGGGAGGUGGAGUGGGAGUGGGCGUGUGGGUGUGGGGGUGUGGAGGGAGGGAGUUGCCAUGAAAUGGCUUGGGGUGGGAUGAGAGGAGGCCCUUGCCCCUCUAUUUAUAGCCAUGGUGGGGGGAUUAGGGGGAGGGAUGAGAGGAUUAGUGGGAGGAUGAAAGGAUUAGUGGGAGAUUAGCAUGGAUUUGUCUUAUAUGAGUGUAAUUAGCUUGUAGAGCUCACCGUAUGACACCAGAGGCAUACGUAUACGUAUGAGCAUGAGGAAAGUUAUGAAGAAAAUAUUUGUGGGGACUUGAAAAAUGAUUCUGAAGGUAUUUCUCAAGAGGAAAAUAUCUGGAGAUAUAUCGGUGGAAUAUUUGGGCAGUAUUUCUGGAAAGAACUUGAGGGGGAUCACUGGGGAAAUAUUUGUAGGAUAUUUUGAGGAGAAUUUUAGAGAGAAUAUAGACCACUAUAUUUUACUUGUUGAUAUCAACUUGCAAACAAACAUUUUGAAACAGAAUUUGAAAUUCAUUUUGAAUUUAGAGCGAGUUUGAGAAAAUUUCAAGAUUUGAAUUUUUGGGAUGCUACAAAUCUACCCCACUUAAAAGGAAUCUCGUCCUCGAGAUUCAGCUUAGAAGGGUUAUGGGUAUAGCUUUACUUCAGCUAUGUAUCUUCACUUUGCAGACUCUUCGAGGAGAUGGAGCUUCAAUAAAAUCUGGCCUUUGAGUAGCAUCUGGCUGCCGAUUGCAAAUGUUGAUUCUGGCUACUCAAAGAUCAUCUUCAGGCUUCAGCUUUCGCUUGGCAGCUAGCUUAUUGAGGAAGCAUCGAUGCUAACACAGAAACCUUUCUCUUGCGAACUCCCACAUGGAUUCCUUACUUGAUUGGUCUUCUGGUGCUUCAUCAACAAAACUUGGGUGACCACUUCUCAUCCAGAAACUUAUAUGCUUUGAUGAUCUGGUCCUCCACAAGAUUGCUACAAGCCUUCUUCUUUUUUUCCACAGCAGGAACCUUACUGGAACACUACCCCACUUAAAAAGAAUGAGGUAGAACUCUUAAAUCUUGGGGAUUUGAACUCCUUGAAGUACCACAUAACAAGGGUGUUACGGGGCCUUCUUCUGCUGUUGCUGCUUGACCAGGCUGCGGAGAGAUGACUGACAUAUGAUUGAUUCAAGGACAACCUUCUUCUCAUCUUAUCUUCACUAUCUUCUUUUCACUGACCCUUUCUUUCUCUUUGCUCUUCCCACUGGAGGAUUCUAUGAAAGAGUAUUACCAUCAUAUAGAGGAGGAAACCGAAGACUAUGAACCAUGUACAACAGUCUUCAACCCAAGAAUCACCAAGCAUUGUGAUCUUAGGGUCAAGGGAGUGGAAAAAUGGAGUUGCUUGCAAUUUGGCAGAGGAGAUUUUAUCAGGCGUGCUGCUUUGCUUGGGAUGGGAGUUGAGGGAGCUGGUGGGGGAGUUUUAUAGGCGAGCGUUGGUGUUCGGUUGCGGAGUAGUGGUGAUGGAGUAGGUGCUACGUGGCAACAGGUGCGACGGAGGGGAAGGGGGGCUUGGUGCCGGCGAUGAUGGCGGCGGUGGGUGCGCUGCAAAGGGGGCGUGGGCGGCGGUAGUGCGCUGCAAAGGGGGCGGCACGCGUGAGGGGGGCACGGGUGAAUGGUGGGGUCAAUGACCCUGAUGUUUGUGGUCUCUGGUUCCAAGAAUCUUUGCCUCUAUGUAUGGUAAUAACUCCUUCUGUCUUGUUUUCCUAUUUACUUUGACUCAGGGGCAGUGCUUUGAUUCUCACGGUCGGUCCUUUUGACUGAGCGACUGGAUAGGUUCCUCUGUAGCUUAUUCCAUGCUUCAAGGGUAAGCUUCCCGAUAUCUUUUUGGGCAAGGUGCUUUUCUCUUGAGAUGGGUUAAGAUGAGAAUGGAAGCAUAAGGUGAGGAUUAGCUCUAAUUUGUGAUCUAUGUUUUUAGAGAAAACCUUUCUUAAAAAAAGAAAACACACAAGCUCAGCAAUGAUAAGCACAAACAAAUCACAUGUUUUGAAUAAGGGAAGGAUAGAGUUUUUCCAAAGCACAGACUACUCAGAUUUGGGGGCUAAGCAUAACUACUAUUGCUUGGCUCCUGAAUUUAGAACUAUGCUAAAUGCAACUUAUGAGCACUAACGUUAAAGCAUCACAUAUAUACUCAAAAGGGGAGAAAACAUCAAGCGAAAUUCAUUUUGAAAUGCCCUAGGGGGCCACACAAUUAGAGUUUUGCACAACACGAGUCUACACGAUUACCUCUCAUACAUGUAGGGCUCUAGCCAAAGUGAAGAAAAAACUUCACUACCCAAUCCAUGCAGAGGACUGGGCAUAACUAACUCAGAUCUGGCAGCUUCUCUUCUGGCAAGGCUGGCACACAACUUCAAUCUGAGACAUCUCCUGGAUGGGUCAAGAGGGAGCUGAUGUUGAUGACUUCUUCUGGCGGUGAUUGAGAUGGCAAGACGGGGUUGAACUCUUCUUCCAGCGGGAUUGGCUCUUGUAGCUCCUCAGAGGGCGGCGGUGCUGGCGGGGUGCUUGCAGCUUCUUCCUUGACUUCAAGGGACGGUGCUGGAAUCUUCUUCAUGGUAAGGAGCUCAAACAACUCUGGCGGAGGAUGUUGGGAGGAUUCAGGGUGCUCUUGCUUAUCCAUAGCCUGAGGGAAGACUGGAAUUCCUUCCAAAACUAUGGCUCCUUCCGGAAGUUCCCAAGCCUUCUUCUCUCCUCUGAUAGAGACCGGGUGACCUUCAAGAAUCUGGGGGUCUUGAGCUCUGAUGGGUUGAACAGGGUUGGAUGAAGCGGGCUCUUGGAUCCGUAGGGCUCUACGUUGGUUAUGGGUUACCAAGUAGGCCUCCAUCAACUUCUGGACGUGCUCAUCCUUGGCUUGCUUCAGGGCUUCAACAGCAAUGACUUCACGACUUUCCAAGGCAGCUACACGGGCUUGAGCUGAGAUGAGAUCCACAUGGAGCUUACGGUUGAGCUUCUCUGCAUCUUCUGCUCAAGCAAUCAUCUGACAGUGGUGCCAAGCCAAGAAAUCAUACCAUGCAUCCAGGGUGAGCAGGUAUGCAGUGAGGUACGCGACUGUGGGGUCGUCCUCAAGCAGUUGCUGACCUUCCAAUGCACGCGUCCUGGCCAUCCAAACGGGACGGUCUCUCUGAAAGGGUGGAAAGAAUCUGAGCGGUGUGUCGGCCACUUCUUCAUAAAUCUGACACAGGACCCUUAAUGCCUUACGAGCGACGACUUGGUAGGUGUCUUUGAAUCUGUGCCCAGCAGCAGUGACACUCCAUUCCAUAUGGUGCGGACUGGAUCCAAUGUAUACAGUCACGACACACUUCUCUGUGCCAUUCUCAACGAAUUCACGACCAUCAUACUCUGGCUGGCUCCUGAUUCCAAGGCGAACUGUGCAUGCUCUCAGCAACUUGGGGAAACCAUCUUCAUUCUGGCAAAAGCUGGUUUGGCAACGGACCUCCAUCUGACUUCUAAGAGAAGGAAAGAGGGAAAACAUUUUUGAAAUGGAGGAAUGAGAGCAAGAUUUUUUUAAGAAAAUAGUUUUGACUCAAAAACUUUUGGAUCAGGCUAAGGGUUACGUCCUGCGGCCAACCUAACAGCUCUGAUACCACCUGAAGCGCCCCAAUCCUUUGGGACUCAAAUGUGAUACAAUUACUAGUCUCAGGAGGCUAGUAAACACAUUUAUACAACAGAUGAUUCCAGAUCUGCUUUAAACGAGACAAACCUAUAAAGGUGGCGAAAGAGUUGGUCCACAAUUUGGGACAUAUCAUCAGAGUGGGGCUCAAGCAGCCCGAUAUACGCAGCGAAGCAAUUCAGCGGUCCAACAGCCACAGGCAAGGUUGGGAACAGUCGUAACUCUUACCCGAUCUCCUUUUUCUGAAAAACAACAAAUAAGCAAGGGUGAGUACAAACGUACUUAGCAGCCCACCUUCACCCGCGGAAUGGGGAAAUCAGAUAUAAUGCAUGGAAUAUCUAGAGCUCAGGAUAUUUUGCAGAAACAACAAUAUUUUAUGCAGGGUUGUUUUGUAAAACAUUUUGUAUUUUGCAAAGCGCAUCCUCUCCCAAAGGAGCAGGAAGUUUUUCAAUAUAGAGCAAAAUCCCCUGGACUAAACCAUCCAGGUAUCUCAGCAGUUUCUCACUGGUUUUCAUUUUCAAAAACAGCUACUGGACUUCCCGUCCACCAUAGCUCACGGCUCAACCGCUGGACCUUUUAAAAACUAUUUUUCUCAAACACACCCUUUUUUGAAAACAAAACAUUAAUUGCCAUACCAUACCAGACUCGUCCAUUCCUGUGGACACGGACUAUUCGAAUAGGUUUUCAAACUCUGCGCAGAGGUGUACACUUUACCCACUAGUCCAGUUUCUGCGAUCUCACCGUCGUGAGACCCGAAUGCCGAAUCUCUUUCUUUCCUCGCAUGUCCUAACCUUAACGGUUAUACCGGAAGGAGUCAGGCCACCGCCAUGUCCAAACCGGACAAAACAUUCCCCCUCCUUAUCCUCCCGGUGCUCCCCAGCCUUCAUAACCCUGGGGUUGGACCGUACGAGUUCAGAUUGAGUGACUGCCCACACAGUCUCGAGUGGUUGUACUUAUCAUGAGUACAGGUAGUGAAGGAUGACAAACCGGUCCUUAUGUGAGGGGACAAUCCUUCUGCUCACACCUAAACCAGUUGAGCCAUCACCUUAGGCCCUCCCCUAAACCAGGGAGUCCCUGAUCAUCCCUACUCAAAGGUGAUAAGGGUGAAAACCCUUCAUCAUACACAUUUUGAAAAGUAUCUUCUUUUGAAAACUCACACCUUUCCUCAAAUCAUUUGUAACAAAUAUAUCAGGGAUUGAUUGCGGCAAGCAGAUGGGUGGCCAUAAUAACUUGUCUCAAAAUCAUAUCAUGCAUAAAAUAACAGGCUGAGGGUUGUGGUUGAAAAACAUAGGUGAUUUAUGCAUCAAAGGGAUCCAGUGAGCUUGCCGUGCUUAUCCGGCGAAGGGGGAAGAGGAGCUCGCGGAACUGGCUUCUAGCUUCACUGCCUGGCGUAGACAUGCAGAUCUAGCCUCCACGAGACGGCACGAACGCUCCAAUAACUAUGCAACAUGAACAAACAAACAUACAAACCAACAAGUAUACCAACAAAUAUUUAGUAUAGUGGUCAGAAUAGCGAUAUAUGGAUGGGUAGAGUCGUGAGUAGAAUCUAUGUCAUGUGGUGUUGAGAUACUGCUGGUGGUGGAGCGAAGGUGCUUACCAGGAGGGUGGACUGAAGACAAAGCGACACUAUGCGUGUAGCCGGCAGAGCGGAGUAACUGAGUGGGUGGGGUGUUUGCCUUGGCUGAGGGUGUUGAGUGUGUGGAGUGGGAGAGGGUAGCUGGGUGUAUUUAUAGUUGGGUGUAUGUGGUGUAGCACAGUGAAGUUCAUUGUUGGUGAGAAUAGUGACGAAUGAAUCGUCUGACUUAAUAUAAACAUGAGAGGCAGAAUAUGGGACAAGAGUAUUUUGGGAGUUUUCUGGAAUAUGAACCAUGCUUAAGGGAUGACAUGGUCGGAUAGGGAAUAGUUUGACAAGAAUUUUAGAAACAAGAAUGACUGAAAUCUGAGUUUGGAUGGAGGAGUUUUGGAUUUUAUAAUCAUAGGGAGAAAAAGAAAAGAAAAGGAAUAUUCUUGGAAUAUUCUAGAAUUUGAAUAUUCAGAGAUAUUUGGAAAAUCAAAAAAUGUCUUUUUGAGCGGGGUGCGAGGAAUUAUUUUUGGGCUUUUCUUGGGCAGAGGUUUAUGUUGGUGGAAACUGUUCCUACCUACUGUGUUCCAUCAGAAACAGUGAGGCGGGACCCAAAUAGCUGGAAUGAUGUGAUAUUCUGGUCCGAGUGGGCUGUGGUAUCUUGGGCCAGGUUUUAUAGGAUUGAAGACGUAUCCAUACAAACAUGAUUUUCCUUUCUUUUUGGAUGUCUAGCUUGAAAGAAUCCCAAAGUUAAGUGUGCUCAACUUGGAGAAAUCUAGGAUGAGUGACCAGAUGGGAAGUUCCCUACUGGAAUGAAAAUCACAGUCACCGGAGUUCGUAUGACUGGAAUAUGGGUCUGGCUGGUCUUAGGUGGACUGGACAGCAUGAUGGAUGAGUAGUUGAAAUUUGGGGUGAUCGGAUGAUCGAUGAAUAGCAACGAUGAAUAGUAAUGGUGAAUAGUAAAGGUGAAUAGUGAUGGUGAAUAGUUCAUAUGAACGAACGAUGAACGUUGAAUAGUGAUGAUGAACGAACGAUGAACCAUGAAUAGGAACUAUGAACGAACGAUGAACGAUCGAAUGAUCGAACAAACGAAUGAUCGGAAUUUCGGCAGCAUAACAGCAAGAAAAAUAUUAUUUGGACGAACGAACGGACGAACGAUCGAACGAUCGGACGAACGGACGAACGAACCAUGAACGAUCGAACGAACGAUCGAACGAACGAACAAACUAAGAACAGGGGGACGAACGAUCGAAGAACGACAGAACGAUCCUUGUGCUAGUGUGUGCUUGUGUGGGAGGUGGAGUGGGAGUGGGCGUGUGGGUGUGGGGGUGUGGAGGGAGGGAGUUGCCAUGAAAUGGCUUGGGGUGGGAUGAGAGGAGGCCCUUGCCCAUCUAUUUAUAGCCAUGGUGGGGGAUUAGGGGGAGGGAUGAGAGGAUUAGUGGGAGGAUGAAAGGAUUAGUGGGAGAUUAGCAUGGAUUUGUCUUAUAUGAGUGUAAUUAGCUUGUAGAGCUCACCGUAUGACACCGGAGGCGUACGUAUACGUAUGAGCAUGAGGAAAGUUAUGAAGAAAAUAUUUGUGGGGACUUGAAAAAUGAUUCUGAAGGUAUUUCUCAAGAGGAAAAUAUCUGGAGAUAUAUCGGUGGAAUAUUUGGGCAGUAUUUCUGGAAAGAACUUGAGGGGGAUCACUCGGAAAUAUUUGUAGGAUAUUUUGAGGAGGAUUUUAGAGAGAAUAUAGACCACUAUAUUUUACUUGUUUAUAUCAACUUGCAAACAAACAUUUUGAAACAAAAUUUGAAAUUCAUUUUGAAUUUAGAGCGAGUUUGAGAAAAUUUCAAGAUUUGAAUUUUUGGGAUGCUACAACGUGGAAGUGUGAUUCUACACGAGUUCAAACGCCUGUUGGCCGACCUAAACGUGCAUAUCUUGCCAAGGAUCCUGUGUAGCGUCUCUUCACCGUGCCAAGGUCUUCCUGUCGUGUGUGAGUCCCGAGUGAAAAUAUGGCCUGGGUGAGAAGAUAUUAUGGCGUGAUGAUAGAUCUGUCAGCACUAUCCAAAUCGAGACAAAACCUAUGUGAAAUCGUGACAAACGAUUUUGGUUUGAUUUCAAACUUCUCUAGAGUGUUCCAAGGGUAUUUUGGCGCCACAUGAUAUUUGGACUUUAUGGAUUCGAGCUUGGGAAGACAGGGAACACAUAUGAACUUUGGGAAAGGGUUUGAAUUUCAUAUUUCUGAAUUUCUGAAUUUUCCAUAGGGCAUUAGUUCAUGGGCUGAUUUGGGGAUUUUGGAAAAUUCAAAUGGCCAAACUUCCUUACUAUAUUUUGUAGGUUAUUUAGUGCACUAAAACUUUGUCAAUUGGUUCAUCCCAAAAUUUUGUAUUUUUCACAAUCUUUUUACAAGUUUUCCCUUUUGCACUUAAAUGGCUUACUUAGGAUUAUUUAGGGUUUGUGAAUUCUUCUUACCUUGAGGUGCAUGGCAUGAUUAAGGCAAAUUUCUUAAGAUGAAAAAGACUUACUUAAACCUUUGUUCUUAAUUUUUUAUGUCCUUUCCUCAAUUUGGUUCACAUGUGAUAAUGGUUUUGAGUUAGCUCUAAGAAGAAACCCUAGGUGACACUGGGGUGUCACAAAUUGCCUAUGAAGGAACUUAGUGUGCAAGGUGAUCUGGCUUACACUAAGUAUCCUAUCAAGAUCAUUGAUACCUGGACUCGAGUUACGAGGAAUAAAGUGAUUAAGAUGUGGAAAGUACAAUGGAGUCAUCACGGAGAAGAUAAAGCCAUCUGGAGCAGGAGGAUGAACUACGAGUAGAAUUUCCCCAUCUUUUCCCUAGUUCAUCGUAAUCUCGAGGUCGAGAUUAUUUUUAAGGGGGGUAGAAUUUGUAAUCACAUGUAAAGUAAAUACAAAUAAAUCCUGCUUAUCAUGCUGAUGUUUUUGUUGUAUGAGGUCCAUCUAAAUGGGAACCUGAAUAUCCAAACACUACAUGGAUUCAAAACUCAAAAAGGAAGAAAUGGGAAAUUAAAAUCUAGAAAGAAAAUGUUAAUAAACUCAAUUACCCCUUCAUAAUUAAAUAAUAGGAAGAAAAAUAAAUAAUACUAUUGCAAACAGUACAAGUUAAAUUCACAUUUGGAUUAUGUUCGAUAUCUGAAAAUAUGAAGUUCAAAACAAGAUUUAAAUUUAGUUUGAAUACUUGAAUUUAGAAAUAGAAAAAAAUGGAAAAGAAAACAAAAAAGGAAACCAAAUGUAUUGGGCCGCAGAACUGGAGUUCGUCCCAUCCCCCGCUUCCUCUCGUGCGCGUGCCGGUCCACUCCACAGCCGUGUUGCCACUGUGCCGACACGUGGGGCCAUCCGGUCAAUUGCACCUGUGUCACCUACGUGUGGGGCCACCGUGUCAGGUGCAGAUCUCACUCGCAGAUCGGGCUGGCCAGCGGCCAAUAACCAUGGCCACCUUUAGUGCCGCCCUAGGCGCUGGAUAUCCCCCAUAAAUUGCCCUGCUCUGGCGCCCUAGACAGUUGACUAGCCAAGAAAGAGAGAGCCAGAAGAUCAGAGAGGGAGCCCGCCAUCUCCGUGCAUUUGGUCCACCACCGCGGAUCCCCAUCGACAGCGAGGUUUGGGCUCCAGCGUGGCCACCCGAGGGUUGAUCUGACCACGUAGAAGCUGUGUGAGGGAGUAACCGGUGGGAAGCUAGCUGAAGCUAUAGGAAUUCCUCGCCGGAGUUGAGGAACCCGCUGAACUCACGCUCCAUCGUGGCUAGUGACAACCGUGCUGCGAUUCAUGUUGAAUCUACUCCUGCUGCAUUCGCCAUCACCUAGGGAUCGUGUAGAUACUCUAGAACUCGCCCUAGGGCUCUGCGUAUCUAUCCGGGGGUACUCGUCUGAGUGCUCCGUCGCGUGCGGGAUACCACCACCGCGUUCGGCCAACGUGAGGGACGAGAAGGCCCUCGAAUUCACCGUACCCCUUCGAGCGUGGCUGGUUUGGUAAAGAGCCCAUGUACUUUAUUAUUAUAAACCCAUCGUCCUCCCUUACAUGAAAAUAAUUACAAAAAGGCCCUGGAAUUGAUGAAAUCAACCCCGAACCCUCUGGUAUUUGUGUACAUGGUCCAAUAAGACACCAGAAUUAGUAAAAUAAAUCAGAAAAGUUUUUUAUAUAGAAAACAAAUCCUAAAAUUUAAUAAAAUCAUAACUUUUUUUCUAACUCCUUUUGAUCCAUUACAGUUGCAUUAAACUCAUAAUAAUAUUGUUUAUCAUUCAAUAACCUUAUUUAGUAUGAAACAUAUUGUUAAUGCAAUUAAUUUGUUUUAUGUGUGACACCAAAACCCUCAGAAAAUCAUAACUCUUUAACCGUAACUCCGAUUUGAGUAAUUCUCGAACCUAUGAUCUUGUAGCAACGUGUAGAACAUUAUUAUACAGUUUGCUAUUAUGUUUGGUGUCAUGUUAAUUUCUCCUAUACCAUGUUUGUUUGUAUUAUUGCGAGUAAACGAGCAAGUGACCGAGGACCCCGGUACUCAGCAGGAGAAAAACUCUAACCAGGAGCUCAUUGAAGGCAAGUUGUGCCCUUGAUCACUUCUCUUUAUCCAAUAAUGAUCUUAUUAAUCAUUAUGAUCUGCAUAGGUUAAUUUUGAUGGGAACCAAUAGGUCACCCUAGUUUGGCCACCUUUAUACCUUGUUUACCACUAAACUUUUGGGUAGUAUAUGCUAUUGCUUUAUGUGGUUUUGGGUGUUAAGAUUCACAUUAUUCAUGAUCAUGCUAGUUAUUGUCAAUGACUUAUUUACUAUUCAUGAUAAGAUCAUUAUGUUAAUUGCAACAUGGAGCGACCACCCGGGGAAACAGUGCUACCACAAGGGUAGUAUGGGACGCCCUUGGCUGACUAAUUAGGAAAGCUAGUGGAGGACUACCUUACCUGAAAGGAGCAAGGGCGGUUGGGGAGUUGUUGGUUUAGGGAGGUUCUCAGGUUGAUCAUGUUGCGAUGGUUUUUCAUAUUUGGGAUUCCUAUAUCACUCUCCUCAGAAACCGUAGCGGAUUUUCUGAAGCUAGUGGAACUUUGUAAAGGCAUCAUAGUGCUACCCCGCCUCGCCUCCUCGGUAGAGGUGUAUGGGGUCCGUACAACCCCAUGGCAGAUGGGUAACACGACUUGUGGGUAAAGAUGUGCAACCUCUGCAGAGUGUAAAUCUGGUAUAUAAGUCGUGCUCACGGUCAUGAGCGGCUCAGACCCUCACAUGAGUUACUUAUGGAAUUAAACUUAAUUGGUUAUUAGCAUCACAUUGUGGUUUAUUUAUUAAUUAUGAUCUCUCGUUUAUUUGGGUUGGUAUUUACUUAUACUUAGUAACUGCUAAUAAAAUUUGACCAACUUAUUAAAAGCAAUGCUUUGUCUUAACCAUUAUUUGUUGAUCAACCUGACACUAUACAUGAACCCCCACUGUAUGUGAGCUCAUGCACAUUAUUCCCCACACUUGUUGAGCGAUGAACUUUUGUCCCCCCCCACUGGUGAAGAGCAGGUGGCCCUAGAGGAAGAUUACUACGAGCAGUUCGACGAGGUCUAGUAGUCGUCUCCCAGUCGACUUAAUGGCGUCAAGAAAAUAAUAUUAGUUCUCUUUAUUUAUUAUAAUAUUUUUUAAGACAUUCUCGUUAUAUAAUAAUGUUUGUGACAUUUCUCUCCAUACACUUGGUCAUUGUAUGUGUUGUUCUUCUUUGGCGCACAUAUGAGACGCACCCGAGUUUACCCCUUAAAUUCGGGUGUUACAUGUAAUGUAGUCCUCCACUAGCUUUCCAAAUUAGUCAGCCAAGGGCGUCCCAUUCCACCCUUGUGGUAGCACGGUUAUCUCAAGUUAAACUCCAUGUUCCAAUUAACACAAUAGUCUUAUCAUGACCAGUAAAGAAUUCAAAAACAAUAAGGAACAUAAUCAUGAAUAAUAUGUAUCUUAACAUCGAAAACCAUAUAGAGCAAUAGCAGAUACUACCCAAAAAGUUCAGUGGUAAGCAAGGCGUAAAGUAUACCAAACUAGGGUGACCUAUUGGCUCCCAUCAAAAUUAGCCUAAGCAUAGCACAAUGAUUAAUAAAAACAUUAUUGGGUAAAGGAGAAGUGAUCAAGGGCACAACUUUCCUUCAACGAGCUCAUGCUCAGUAGUUUCCACCUACUGAGUACCGGGGUCCUCGGUCACUUGCUCGUCUACUCGUAGCAAUACAAACAAAUAUGGUAUAAGAGAAAUUAACAUCACACCAAACAAAGAACAUAAUGCACAUUAUUGAUUUACACAUUGUAACGAGAUCCUAGGUUCGAGAACCACUAAUUUCGAAGUUACAGUUAUAAAGUUAUGAUUUUCUAAAGGUUUAGGUGUUAAAUAUAAAACAAAAUGAGUGCUUGAUUUUAUCUCAUUGUUACAUAGUAAAAUAGGGUUACUAAGUGAUAGACAUAUUAAUAUGAGUCUAAUGGAACUAGAAUGGGUUAAUUUUGAGUUAAAUCAAAGAAGUUAUGGAGUUAUGAAGUUUUGGGAAUUAGUUUCCUUAUAAAAAUCAUUUUUUCUAAUUAAUUCAAUUAAGUUUGAGCUCUGUUUGGACUGUUGGUAUAAAAACUAGAGAACUGAGGAACUGUUUUAUCAAUUUCUAGGGCACAAAUGAAAUUAAUCUGCACAUGUCGUGGACGGUGGGUUCAUUUCUUAAAAAUAGAGGGACUCUUAUGUAAAAAUACACGGCUGAAGGGGGAUUAUCAUAUCUCGGCCGCCCGAUCAAUGUUGGACGACACAGAUUAGAUCCACUAUCAUCCGAACCGAUACAUUACGGACACCCUCAGAUCUAGAUCCAACGGCCAGGGUUCUAAACAGCACGGAUCGCUCGGCAUCCGCCCGAUCACCGAUUGACGGUCAGGGCGCGCUCCACCGAAACGGUAAGUUAGAUCUAAUCUGAGGCGUUGAUUGGUUGAUCGACGCUAUGCAGGCUUUCCACCCCUCACCAUGACAGCGCACGGCGGCGCCCGAGCGCAGACAACGGCGCCAUGGCCGACGACCACGAAAACCCCACCCCGAAGCCCAAACUUCUAUGCGUAGGGUACAUCACGAAGCGCAUGACUAGGCGUUCAAGUUUACGGGACCUACACCGCAGAUCAAGCCCUCAAUCGCACCGACGACGGCGCAGGGCAGAGGUGUGGAAAACGCCCAACUUCGAUGAGAAAUCUGACCUCCCCCGCGACCCAAACCCGGUUUCUAAUGUCUAAUACAUGAUGCUACCAUUAAAUCGAGUCAGUGGGGAAAGGAAUUACCUAAAACCGUGGAGUAGAAGGUUCUACCCACAGAGAGCUUCGUCCCGGCGGCGAGACUUCCGCUCCAAUGAGUAAUUUCCCCCACGCCGACGAGUAAUCCCACCCGAAGGCACUACGAUCACGCGCGGGGAGCGUUGGCGAAGCCCUAUGACUACCCUCUGAGGUUGUAUCGUGGUCGGAAGUCGCAAACGUCGACGGCGGCGAAGUUCCGC
RNAcentral lists this long non-coding RNA (19214 nucleotides) under Zea mays. Its description in RNAcentral is "long non-coding RNA (ZMAY_LNC000964)". The record is from RNAcentral. Lineage: Eukaryota; Viridiplantae; Streptophyta; Magnoliopsida; Poales; Poaceae.